GACGAACGCUGGCGGCGUGCUUAACACAUGCAAGUCGAACGGAAAGGCCCUGCUUGCAGGGUAUUCGAGUGGCGAACGGGUGAGUAACACGUGGGUGAUCUGCCCUGCACUUCGGGAUAAGCCUGGGAAACUGGGUCUAAUACCGGAUAGGAGCCAUUUUUAGUGUGAUGGUUGGAAAGUUUUUUCGGUGUAGGAUGAGCUCGCGGCCUAUCAGCUUGUUGGUGGGGUAAUGGCCUACCAAGGCGGCGACGGGUAGCCGGCCUGAGAGGGUGGACGGCCACAUUGGGACUGAGAUACGGCCCAGACUCCUACGGGAGGCAGCAGUGGGGAAUAUUGCACAAUGGGCGCAAGCCUGAUGCAGCGACGCCGCGUGGGGAUGACGGCCUUCGGGUUGUAAACUCCUUUCGCUAGGGACGAAGCUUUUUGUGACGGUACCUAGAGAAGAAGCACCGGCUAACUACGUG
Molecule: ribosomal RNA, 464 nt
Filed under: uncultured bacterium
Lineage: Bacteria
Description: partial 16S ribosomal RNA
Rfam family: Bacterial small subunit ribosomal RNA
Source: RNAcentral